GCCGGCCCAGGUCACGUGGGAGGGGUUGCUCCGCGCGGAGCGGGCGUUCAGGAAGCAUGGCUCUCUGGCGUGCAUACCAGCGGGCCCUGGCUGCUCACCCUUGGAAAGUACAGGUCCUGACGGCUGGGUCCCUGAUGGGCCUGGGUGACAUUAUCUCACAGCAGCUGGUGGAGAGGCGGGGUCUGCAGGAACACCAGACAGGCCGGACUCUGACCAUGAUGACCCUGGGCUGUGGCUUUGUGGGCCCCGUAGUAGGAGGCUGGUACAGGGUCUUGGAUCGGCUUAUCCCUGGCACCACCAAGGUGGAUGCACUCAAGAAGAUGUUGUUGGAUCAGGGGGGCUUUGCCCCGUGUUUUCUAGGCUGCUUCCUCCCACUGGUAGGGACACUCAAUGGACUGUCAGCCCAGGACAACUGGGCCAAACUACAGCGGGAUUAUCGUGAUGCCCUCAUCACCAACUACUAUCUGUGGCCUGCCGUGCAGUUAGCCAACUUCUACCUGAUCCCCCUUCAUUACAGGUUGGCCGUUGUCCAGUGUGUUGCUGUCAUCUGGAACUCCUACCUGUCCUGGAAGGCGCAUCAGCUUUAAGACUGCCUGGCUCCAUUUUCUCCAUGUUGCAGUCAUGCAGCUUGAGCUGCCCUGCUCUGGUGUGGCUUCAGCUUUCUGGUACCCCCUCACACUGUAUAUGGUGCCUCCGUGAACAUGUUAGUAAGUAUGUAAUCUGGAAACCGCAGAGGUAAUAAGAAAGACCCAGGAGAGAACUAUUGGGGAGUCCAAUUUCUAGAGCUGGGAAGAAGCCUAGGACUGCCAAGCCCUGUGGUCUCCAGAUGCAGUACUGCAGCCUAUGGAUGUGAGUAGUCCAUCCACACCAUGAGUUAGUGGCACUAGAAACUUGAACCCCAGUUUUCUUACUUCCAAACAGGUAUUCCCCCCCAACAUUUACUUAUGUAUUUAUCUAUUUAUUUGUUGUGAUUUUCAAGCCAUCUGGUCUGGGUCUCAAACCACCGUCAGCCAUGUGAGAAUCCAGCACCCCAUUUAACACCUGUUGACCCAACUACCAGGUGAUCUUAAUCCAAAGGUCAAAGGCAAAGUAAUACCGCUUCUGUGAUUCCCAGAAAACAGACCUUUGCUAAACUACCACUUUGGGCAAACUCAGAAGCAUAUCCACUGGUCUUUUGUGGUUUGAAAACUGUUGAAUUUAGGCCCUGGGACUGUAAGAGAUCAAGAAUCCUGAACGGACUUAGCUGUGGCAGACCACCUCCCUGUGGACCCCAUAGUGUUGGCCAGUUGCCAGUUGGCCACAGCUGGUCGCAGCUGAGUCUGAGCAGCAGGGCAUCCGUCCCAAUGCCUCUGGCCCAUCUCUUGAGGCGGAGGACAGGGUCAGCACCACGGACAGCUCCCGUGCCCCAACCUCCCGGUCAAGGGCGGGAAGAUGCGACCCCAAACUAGUCUGGUCUGGGGAAGGGCCCUGGUCACUGCCACCUGUUUUGAAUGGGGGUGAAGGACUCUCCUAGGUCCCAGAGCCGUCUUUACGCACCAAUCGGCUUUUCGUUCUCCCGACUCCAGCCUCAGCCCCAGGAACACAGUCUCGUGUCCGGGAGCGAGCCCCUCCAGGGACUCGGGACUGCCGAUUUGAAGUUGCGGCUGUCAUUGCCUUUACAAUCAGUGCAUGUUCUUCACUGACGUCAGUCGGAGCUGUCCUGGCGCUUUAUAAGGCUGGCAGCAAUCCCGGGACAGACCCUGUGUUUCCCAAGGCGCCCUCAGCCUGCCCCGAGGGGCAGAGACUGGAGCUCCGUCUCGCACCGUGCAAACGCUCUCGGACAACCUGUGAGUGGCUUGGAGCAUCUGCCCAGACUCCCUCCACACCAGGACUCUGCGUUCGGCUGGUCCACCACGACCUGCCGGGUGGGAAGGCGGGAAUGAAGGGGUGG
RNA transcript from Tupaia belangeri chinensis (Chinese tree shrew), 1930 nucleotides. It is a transcript of the gene named mitochondrial inner membrane protein MPV17, with no coding region annotated. NCBI's taxonomy places the organism in Eukaryota, Metazoa, Chordata, Mammalia, Scandentia, Tupaiidae. The transcript is spliced from 9 exons. The record is from RefSeq and is a predicted model, not a curated record.